GAUGAACGCUGGCGGCGUGCCUAAUACAUGCAAGUAGAACGCUGAAGGAGGAGCUUGCUCUUCUGGAUGAGUUGCGAACGGGUGAGUAACGCGUAGGUAACCUGCCUGGUAGCGGGGGAUAACUAUUGGAAACGAUAGCUAAUACCGCAUGACAACAGUUAUUGCAUGAUAACUGUUUAAAAGGGGCAACUGCUCCACUACCAGAUGGACCUGCGUUGUAUUAGCUAGUUGGUGAGGUAACGGCUCACCAAGGCGACGAUACAUAGCCGACCUGAGAGGGUGAUCGGCCACACUGGGACGGAGACACGGCCCAGACUCCUACGGGAGGGAGCAGUAGGGAAUCUUCGGCAAUGGACGGAAGUCUGACCGAGCAACGCCGCGUGAGUGAAGAAGGGUGUCGGAUCGGAAAGCUCGGUUGUAAGAGAAGAACGAGUGUGAGAGUGGAAAGUUCACACUGUGACGGUAUCUUACCAGAAAGGGACGGCUAACUACGUG
Molecule: ribosomal RNA, 495 nt
Filed under: uncultured bacterium
Lineage: Bacteria
Description: partial 16S ribosomal RNA
Rfam family: Bacterial small subunit ribosomal RNA
Source: RNAcentral